Molecule: ribosomal RNA, 1765 nt
Filed under: human gut metagenome
Description: bacterial LSU rRNA
Rfam family: Bacterial large subunit ribosomal RNA
Source: RNAcentral
AGGAAGAGAAAAUAAAUGAAUGAUUCCCCCAGUAGUGGCGAGCGAACGGGGAACAGCCCAAACCGUUGACGUCGCAAGGCGCCAGCGGGGUUGUAGGAUCGCGACAUUGUAUGCAAAUCGUGAACAGAACACUUUGGAAAAUGUGACCAUAGACGGUGAUAGUCCAGUAUGUGAAGCGAAAUGCAGCAUAGCGGUAUCCUGAGUAACGCGGGACACGAGGAAUCCUGCGCGAAUCUGCCGGGACCAUCCGGUAAGGCUAAAUACUCCCGUGAGACCGAUAGCGAACGAGUACUGUGAAGGAAAGGUGAAAAGAACCCCGAGCAGGGGAGUGAAAUAGUUCCUGAAACCAUACGCCUACAAGCGGUCGGAGCAUCUUACGAUGUGACGGCGUGCCUUUUGCAUAAUGAUCCUACGAGUUACCGUCACUGGCGAGGUUGAGUGUCAUGAGACACGUAGCCGCAGUGAAAGCGAGCCUGAACAGGGCGCAUAGUCAGUGGGGGUAGACGCGAAACCAAGUGAUCUACACUUGGCCAGGAUGAAGUCCCGGUAACACGGGAUGGAGGUCCGCACCAAUAAGCGUUGAAAAGCUUCUGGAUGAGCCGAGUGUAGGAGUGAAAGGCCAAUCAAACUUGGAGAUAGCUCGUACUCCCCGAAAGGCAUUUAGGUGCCGCGUCGGAUGGUCACCGUGAGAGGUAGAGCGACCGAUAGGACAAGAGGGCUUCACCGCCUAUCGAGUCCUGACGAACUCCGAAUGCUCACGGUCUGCAGUCCGGCAGUAAGGGGGCGGGUGCUAAGGUCCGUCCCCGAGAGGAGAAGAAUCCAGACCGCCGUCUAAGGUCCCGGAGUUCUGCCUGAGUUAGUCUAACGAAGUCUGGUCCCUAUGACAGCUAGGAUGUUGGCUUGGAAGCAGCCAUUCAUUCAAAGAGUGCGUAACAGCUCACUAGUCGAGGGUCCGGGCAUGGAUAAUAAUCGGGUAUAAGGCAGACACCGAAGGCGCGGGAUAGCAUUUAAGAAAGUAUCGGUAGGGGAGCAUACUCACAGCGUGGAAUGGUGUACGUAAGUUAUCCUGGAGCGGUGAGUAAAGCAAAUGUAGGAAUAAGUAACGAUAAGGAGGGUUAGAUUCCCUCCCGCUGUAAGACCAAGGUUUCCCGGGCAAUGCCAAUCAGCCCGGGGUCAGUCGGGUCCUAAGUCUAAGCCGAACGGCGAUGGCGAUGGCAGAGACGGUUAAUAUUCCGUCACUGCCGCAUGGGGCGACGUGGAGACGGAGCAGUGAAACCACCGCGGGGCGACGGAAGUCCCCGUUGAAGAGUGUAGGUGUUGAGGAUGGCAGGCAAAUCCACCGUCCGAGCUGAACUUGAUAGUAUGGAGUCUUCUUCGGAAGAAUCCAAUAGUGUGGGUAAUCAUACUCCCGAGAAAAUCCGCUAAGCUUAACCCAUGCGGCACCCGUACCGCAAACGGACACACGUGGUCGGGUAGAACAUACUAAGGCGUUGAGAGAUUCAUGGUUAAGGAACUAGGCAAAUUGACCCUGUAACUUCGGGAUAAAGGGUCCUCGUGAUGAGCGAGGCGCAGAGAAUAGGUCCAGGCAACUGUUUAACAAAAACACAGGGCUGUGCAAACUCGAAAGAUGACGUAUACAGCCUGACACCUGCCCGGUGCCGGAAGGUUAAGAGGAGAUGUCACUCGCAAGAGGAAGCAUUGAAUUGAAGCCCCGGUAAACGGCGGCCGUAACUAUAACGGUCCUAAGGUAGCGAAAUUCCUUGUC